Molecule: long non-coding RNA, 5495 nt
Organism: Gadus chalcogrammus (walleye pollock)
Lineage: Eukaryota; Metazoa; Chordata; Actinopteri; Gadiformes; Gadidae
Exons: 3
Source: RefSeq, a predicted model, not a curated record
UCCCCUCCCCCUCCCGGACAGCCAGCAGGUCUUUGGUUCGCUCCAAGUUGGUAUCAAGUUACUUUAAUUUCCCAAGAGCCAAGUUUCGUAUCGACUGUGUUUCAUUAUUGAAGGGUUAUGACCUUGCAGAAGAAGAAGUAAAACCAGAUAUUGGAAUUUCAGGAUCAACAUGAAAGUGAAUCUGAUGACUCAAACGGAGGGAGUAAAUACACCAGGCAGAUUAUUUCGAGGGUUAGUGGUGAUAAUCCAUAUUUGAUCAAUCCUCACAAGCAAGGAUGUUAAUAAAUAGACAUGUGAGGUGUUUUCUGUGAGGCGUCCUGGGAUAUGAUGGGUAACGUUGGCUUGAGUACGAUCUCCAUCCUGCACAGGGAAUGUUUAUAUGGAGAUGUGGAGAUUGAGAUGUUGGGUGAGAGGAACCACUUGUCUUUGAACGGUUUAUUAGGAUAUUUCUGUUUGCAAUGUUGUCUUUUUUAGUUUGAGCUCAAUGAGUGCAAUGUUGACCACUUGGUGAACAUGUUUUAGUUAAUGGAUAUGAUCUCCUGACGCUAGAGUCACUCUCACAACAUGUGAGAGGGAACCAUUUGGAUUAGAUCAAAUGUUUCAGUUUUCCUUAAGAGGUAAAACCCCCCCAUUGGUUGAUCAGGGCAGGGGGGGGGCGUUUACACUCUUUUUUAAUGAUACUAUAUGUUUCACCCAUACGUGUCAUUUUGAAGAGAAGGAAACUGUUUCUGCGUCAGAGAUUUAGCGCCAUCACUGUAUUGAAGGUGUUGGAUUGAAUUCAGGACCAAUAUGCUAAAUGCUAAACAGUGUUCCUCUGCUCCACGUUAAGUGAACCCUAGCCUGGUGCUCUACGUGGCCCUGCAGGAGCUGAGGGCUGGUUUAACCACACUGAUCGCUCAAUGUGCAACAGGUGUGCAGCCUCACCAAGCCCCAGAGUCCAAGCAGUCUGACUCGGGCCAGGUGAGGCUGCUUAAACCAGCCGUCAUCCACACACACUUCACAAAACUGUGCCUGAAACGGUCUGUAAGUGUAUUGUUUUUUUAAAUUUAUUUGGAGAUUUAUUAAUGGGGAUAUUUUGCUUACAUUUUACGGUGUUUAUUUGUUAACAGAAUUUUGGGGGUUUGGAUUAUUAUCAAAUGGCCUUUCAUCUGUCCAACGUGCCCGUUCUCCAACCUUAACGACAGAAUAGGAAUGUUGGACCAUGGAUACACAGAUGUGAGAACCUAUAGGCCUGGCAGUGGUGAUUAUCAAAUCCUAGGUCUGUCUUUGUGUGACGAGCUCUGUGGAGCUGACCGUACCCCAGACCAAGGACAUGGUCAUGUUUUAGAAGACCUUCUGCGCGGUGCAUACAGGGAUCAGAGACUGAAGGGUCUGAUCGGUACCCUGGGGCUGUUGACGACGGACUGGGUUUUGAGGCACUGACCCCAUUUGCACGAAGGUGCAGCAGCAGUUAUAUCUCUAAGGAAAAAUUGAGGAUUUAAUAUCAAUACCGUUACGAUGUCCCUGUUUUGCAAGGCUUUGAUUGAAUCUGUUGGACAUUUUUUAAUAUAAAUCCACUGGGUAGACUGAUGAAAGUGGCCAGUAAGGUCAUUGGGAUUGGGCAGAACCAGUUGAAGGACAUUUUUAAGAGGCAUGUGCUCAGGAAGGCCCAUGGCGGCCUGAACUCUCCGGGCUUCCCCGUGCAGGGAGGGUCGGGCUUCAGGGUGCCAUGGGGGAAGACUAAGGAGGACCAGGAACUCCUUAUAUCCCUGUCGCCAUUGAGUUAUAGAUUCGCUAACAAAAUGCAACAUUCCCAAAAAAAUCUAUUUUUUUCUGUUGCGGGCGGAUCAACGUCAUACAUGAGAAAGCACCUCCCAAACCAUCACCCAAGUGUGCAGGUUUUAGCGUAGAGGGAAGACGACACUCCUGUCCCCUCUCAAACCAGUACAACAACCAGUUCAACCAUGGUAGGAGCUAUCUCCUCAGGAACUCAACCUUCAUCCACUACAUCUGUGGCUUCUUGCCCCCUCUACCUCUACAACGGGCUCAGAAGUGAGACCAAAAAGACCCACAAACCACUCUGGGUUCCUUGCUGUGGAGAACCAUGGGCCCAAAGACGCAAAGCCAUCUGGACAAGGAGUUAUUCAAAAUGGUGGCUCAGGAAUUCCAGCCGUUUUCGAUGGUAGAAUACGAGGGCAUCGGCUAUAGAAGACGUGAUAAGGUAAGUGUUUUCACUGGUUUGGUACAGAACACAAUAUGUGUGAACCUGGCUGGCAGUGGUGGAGUUAUUAGAUUAUGACAUUGCAAUGAACCCGAUGUUUUAUUCACAAUUUUAUUUCAUAGAAAAGGGAAAGACAGAAAAGACUGUGAUUCAAAACAUUUCAUCUAAUUGUACCAGAGAGUCAGAGCCUACCUAGCAGAGGGACCAGAGUGGCAGACCUACUGAACAACAGCAUCUAGGUAUUAGAUUAUAGAAUGGAGCUAUCCAUGUAUAUAAGACACUACUCUCAUAGCUGGGGCGAUGUGGCCAGCAUAACGUCAGCUCAGUGGCGUUUAUAACGUAGCUCACUGAGUCGUCAUGACAACACAGAGCAGGGACAAAGGGUAGAAAGACUUCUGUCCUUGUUUGACCACGAUAAUGGCAGCCGUCUCCCAACACGUACUCAGUCUGUCAAGAUGUUCUUCUGUGUAGAGGCUAAUUCAGAGUGGAAACCAGGAACUGGUUCAACUGAUUAUAUAUGGAGCAGUUCAUAAUGAUAGGAUGGAUAAGUUUAAUAAUAUCAACCAUAGUCCUGGGAGGUAAGGGUUACAUUAAACUCUAACAUGUAUCAUAACAUGUAUCAUAGUUACAAUAAACUAACAUAUAUCAUGGAUAGAUUUAACUAACAUGUAUCAUGUUACCUUAAACUCUAACAUGUAUCAUGUUACAUUAAACUAACAUGUAUCAUGUUACAUUAAACUAACAUGUAUCAGGGUUAUGCUGAAUGAUGUGACUGCUGUCCUGACAUGUUGAUGUGUUGUUUCUCUCUACAGAAUUGGAAAAACAAAUAGAUGAGAUGGUAAGUGUUAUUACUGGUUUGAUACAGAACACAAUAAUAUGUGUGAACCUAGCUGGCAGUGGUGGAGUUAUUAGAUGAUGACCAGAGGCGGAUUAACACCCAGGCUAGCCUCGGCUGAGCCUAGGGGCCCAGGUGUGCAAGGGGCCCUGGAUGGGACACACUAUUUUCAAUUUGACUUAAAAUAAAAAAAGACUUGACUCCUAUUGGCCCAUAACAAGAACCAUUAAAAAGUGAAGCAGCUGAUUGGGUAGAUGUGUGGGCCAUGUCAUGUGACCAGGUUCAUAAAGUCAGUUUGGUUGUAAAGGAAUACGUCACGUCCGCUGGACAGCAAAGAGGCAGAAUGUCUGAAAAGCGAAAAGCACAAGUGUUUCCAUUUGUCGAUAUAGCACUCUGACUAUUUAUGACUUUGCCUGUGACCAAUGCCAGCAGGGGGCGCUCUUCUUCAAAAUGGGCGGUAGUUAAAGAUAGGCCGAGAUCCACAAUGGGCCAAAACAGACUGAAUCCCCGUCUCUUAUCUGUCCGUUGAUAGCGAUAUUCUGCGCAAAUUGGAUUUUACCAGCCUCAUUAAGGAGAUCUGUCGGUCGGUUGGUCAACAGAAGGGAGGCCAUGUAAUAUUCCUAGCACCCUUUUAUACAUGGCGAAAAAUGUAUUACUUUUUUACUGCGUGAUAAGUAAGGGGGCCUCCCAAGAAUUCUAGCCUAGGGUCCAAUCACCACCUUGAUCCACCACUGAUGAUGACCUUGCAAUGAAUCCAAUGUUCAUAUUUGAUUCACAUUUUUAUUUUAUUUAUAAAGGAAACACCGGAACAGAGGUCGGACUGUUACGGUAAGUUCUUAUUCCACAUGCUUCACUUUGUAAAUGAGUAACAGAUCAUUUAUUAAUAUCCAGUGAUGUGCAAGGGUUACUGACUCACACCAAGUCAAAUGAUAUCACUGUGAUUCAAAACAUUUCAUCUAAUUGUACCAGAGAGUCAGAGCCUACCUAGCAGAGGGACCAGAGUGGCAGACCUACUGAACAACAUCCUCUAGAUAUUAGAUCAUAGAAUGGAGCUAUCCAUGUAUAUGAGCAGGGCUCUACACUAACUUUUUUUUUCAGGAGCACUCGUGCCCCUAAGUAAAAAAUUUAGGAGCACAGGAAAAAAAAAUAGGGGCAUAAUAGGUUUUUGUUUAGAACAUUUAUUAGCGUGCAGAAAUUGCACACACCAACAGCACCAACUUACUAAAGCAAAAUUAAGACAAAUAAAGAGGCAAGAUUACAUUUAGGCUACACAAAAACAGCACCAAUUUCGGCUUCCACCGUACCAGGGUUAUUGGGCUGGGUGCGAUUUAUAUAGAAAUCGGGACAGCGAGAAUGCAUAGUGGACUCGAUGUGUUUCACCACAGCAUCGCGUUUCAGCUUAGGGUUCCCCGUUAUAAACAGAGAGGAGCCUGCCAUUGCCGAUGGGGCUUCCUUACAAAAUGUACAGAAUUUUUUUUAUGUUCUUAGCAUCAUAAUCUAGCCACCCGAAAUCCUUCAACCAGUAGGGGGAUGAAUUUGUAGACUUUAUCGACUACAGUAACAGCAUUAACUUUCUCCACGCAGUCUAUUCAUAAUAUUGUAAUGACCACGGAAAAGGCAGUGAAUGAAUUAUUGAUUAGACAGCGAUUUAGAUACCUAAUAAACUGUUUGAACGCCCAAGACUGGUAACCAUAGCAACGUAGUUAAACAAACCCUGCUAAACCCUCCCUUAGUGCUCCCCGCGCUACGGCCAUCCGGAGGCGCACAGAGCUUUUGGCAGUGAUAUUAUAUAUACAAUACAAUUAUAUUAUAUUAUAUACUAUUCUCUAUAGAGCUCGGGGAGUCGCAAACGGCAACAAUCACUUUCUCCUCCAUUCUGCGGUUCACCCCGGACUGCACUGCAGGGAACGGUUGGCCGGUUGAACGCUGAUUGGCUGUUACGUUACGCACGUCACUCAGUGGCCACGCUGUUGAACGCUGAUUGGCUGUCAUCACGCGAAUGUCGUGGAAAAGUUUAAAUAUUUCAACUCGAGCAAAAGUGGCGUGCUGAAAAUCCACCUGAAAUCCACGUGAACGCGCUCGCCCGUGCCGGGCAAAAGUGUCGCGCUGCAAAUGGUAUCGCUGCUUUGUAUGGAAUCGUUUCGCCCCUUCACGUUUGGUGUGAACGCACAGUAUAGUGCGCUGUGGAGAAGUCACUCGCACGCGUGCUCCUGUUCUGUUUUUCGCGUUCGCACGCCGAAAUAUUCACUCGCAAAUGCGAGUGAAAUUGGCGCACUGUAGAGCCCUGUAUAUGAGAGACACUAUAUGAGGCAUUUUCUCAUGACCCAUGGGGGACGGCACGAGCAUUUAAAAAAAAAAAAAGCAUCAGCGCUGCGAAGUGGUUUUCUAUUAUCUAUCAUAUCACUGUGUGGGGAUUUGGCAUAUUGGCGCCCCUCUGGCUGCAGGCGCCCUGCUUACUGA